GGGGGUUUAGCUCAGCAGUAUAAGCACCUGCCUGGAAAGCACAAGGCCCUGAGUUCAAUCCUCGUACUCCCCA
Molecule: transfer RNA, 73 nt
Filed under: Cavia porcellus (domestic guinea pig)
Lineage: Eukaryota; Metazoa; Chordata; Mammalia; Rodentia; Caviidae
Rfam family: tRNA
About the family: Transfer RNA (tRNA) molecules are approximately 80 nucleotides in length. Their secondary structure includes four short double-helical elements and three loops (D, anti-codon, and T loops).
Source: Rfam by way of RNAcentral